This 427-nucleotide ribosomal RNA is filed under the name uncultured bacterium. Its description in RNAcentral is "partial 16S ribosomal RNA". It matches the Rfam family "Bacterial small subunit ribosomal RNA", at positions 355 to 774 of the family's 1533-position model. The record is from RNAcentral.
UGGGGAAUAUUGCACAAUGGGCGCAAGCCUGAUGCAGCCAUGCCGCGUGUAUGAAGAAGGCCUUAGGGUUGUAAAGUACUUUCAGCGGGGAGGAAGGUGUUGUGGUUAAUAACCUCAGCAAUUGACGUUACCCGCAGAAGAAGCACCGGCUAACUCCGUGCCAGCAGCCGCGGUAAUACGGAGGGUGCAAGCGUUAAUCGGAAUUACUGGGCGUAAAGCGCACGCAGGCGGUCUGUCAAGUCGGAUGUGAAAUCCCCGGGCUCAACCUGGGAACUGCAUCCGAAACUGGCAGGCUUGAGUCUUGUAGAGGGGGGUAGAAUUCCAGGUGUAGCGGUGAAAUGCGUAGAGAUCUGGAGGAAUACCGGUGGCGAAGGCGGCCCCCUGGACAAAGACUGACGCUCAGGUGCGAAAGCGUGGGGAGCAAACA